This 460-nucleotide ribosomal RNA is filed under the name uncultured bacterium. RNAcentral's name for it is "partial 16S ribosomal RNA". It matches the Rfam family "Bacterial small subunit ribosomal RNA", at positions 338 to 795 of the family's 1533-position model. The record is from RNAcentral.
CCUACGGGAGGCAGCAGUGAGGAAUAUUGGUCAAUGGCCGGAAGGCUGAACCAGCCAUGCCGCGUGAAGGUCAGUGCCCUAUGGGCGUUAAACUUCUUUUGUGCGGGAGCAAUAAUGGUCACGUGUGGCCAGACGAGAGUACCGUACGAAUAAGCAUCGGCUAACUCCGUGCCAGCAGCCGCGGUAAUACGGGGGAUGCAAGCGUUAUCCGGAUUUAUUGGGUUUAAAGGGUGCGUAGGCUGUGAGGUAAGUCAGCGGUGAAAUGCCCCCGCUCAACGGGGUGAAGUGCCAUUGAUACUGCCUUGCUGGAAUGCGGAUGCCGGGGGAGGAAUGUGUGGUGUAGCGGUGAAAGGCAGAGAUAUCACACAGAACACCGAUUGCGAAGGCAUCUCACGAAUCCGCGAUUGACGCUGAUGCACGAAAGCGUGGGUAUCAAACAGGAUUAGAUACCCGUGUAAUC